AUUGAACGCUGGCGGCAUGCCUUACACAUGCAAGUCGAACGGCAGCACGGGAGCAAUCCUGGUGGCGAGUGGCGAACGGGUGAGUAAUAUAUCGGAACGUGCCCAGUCGUGGGGGAUAACGCAGCGAAAGCUGUGCUAAUACCGCAUACGAUCUCUGGAUGAAAGCGGGGGACUCGCAAGAGCCUCGCGCGAUUGGAGCGGCCGAUAUCAGAUUAGCUAGUUGGUGAGGUAAAGGCUCACCAAGGCGACGAUCCGUAGCUGGUCUGAGAGGAUGAUCAGCCACACCGGAACUGAGACACGGUCCGGACACCUACGGGAGGCUG
RNAcentral lists this ribosomal RNA (323 nucleotides) under uncultured Pseudomonadota bacterium. RNAcentral's name for it is "bacterial SSU rRNA". It matches the Rfam family "Bacterial small subunit ribosomal RNA", at positions 30 to 351 of the family's 1533-position model. Lineage: Bacteria; Pseudomonadati; Pseudomonadota. The record is from RNAcentral.